Molecule: ribosomal RNA, 468 nt
Filed under: uncultured bacterium
Lineage: Bacteria
Description: partial 16S ribosomal RNA
Rfam family: Bacterial small subunit ribosomal RNA
Source: RNAcentral
GACGAACGCUGGCGGCGUGCUUAACACAUGCAAGUCGAACGGAAAGGCCCUGCUUUUGUGGGGUGCUCGAGUGGCGAACGGGUGAGUAACACGUGAGUAACCUGCCCUUGUCUUUGGGAUAACUUCAGGAAACUGGGGCUAAUACCCGAUAGGAGCUCCUGCUGCAUGGUGGGGAAUGGUAAGUUUCGGCGGUGGGGGAUGUACUCGCGGCUUAUCCGCUUGUUGGUGGAGUAGUGGCUGACCAAGGCUAUGACGGGUAGCCGGCCUUAGAGCGUGAACGGCGACCUGGCGACUGCGAGACGGCCCAGACGGCUACGGGCGGCAGUAGUGGGGAGCAUGACAGAAUGGGCGGAAGUCUGAUGCAGAGAUGCUGCGAGCGGGAUGCCGGGUUACGAGUUGUAAACCACUUUCGCCUGUGACGAAGCGUGAGUGACGGUAACGGGUAAAGAAGCAACGGCUAACUACGUG